This 1383-nucleotide long non-coding RNA is filed under the name Solanum tuberosum (potato). RNAcentral's name for it is "long non-coding RNA (STUB_LNC008645)". The record is from RNAcentral. Lineage: Eukaryota; Viridiplantae; Streptophyta; Magnoliopsida; Solanales; Solanaceae.
CUCCUUGAACAAGAUUUCUCCUAAAUUAUAUGAGUCUAUAUCAUCGAUCUUGUCACGAAAUGUUGUUAUAAUGUAAAAUUCUAUUAAUAUAUACCACCUUAACCAAAUGCAUAUAUGACAUAAGAAAAAGUGUCGAUAACCUCUAUAAUUAGAUGGAAAAAGGAUUUGACCUGCAGUAUUCAAUGUGUACUAAAGUUUAUGGUGGAGUGAUACACAUUCCAAUAUUUGUAAUUAGAGAUUUCGAUCGAGUUUGUUUUAGAUAUUAAUUUAUUAAUAAUAAUGAUCGCAAUGAAAUGGUAAUUAAGUAUUUUUUUAUUCUUAAUUAGAAGUCAUAGGUUCACCUCUUCGAUAUGUAAUGGCAUUUGUCAGGUAAUGCUUAAGUACCCCUGAAUGAGGGAUAUUUUAAUAAGAAUUCAGAUUUAGUGAUGAAAAUAAAUAUGACAAGUAAAAUGAAGAGUAUAAAAGCCAUUAUCCAGCUCUAUUUAUUUCUAAUAGAGUCAUUUUCAAAUUUCGAGAUCCUUACCAUAUGCAUGAUAUUGGCGUAAACCAACAUAAAUGUUAAUGAUGAGCCUCACAUCGGUGUAAAAUGAAGAAAUCAAUAAAGAAAAAAAUUGUCUCAAGACACCCUAAGGUUCUUCCUUCCAAGUUACAACGCCUAAAAAUAAUAGGAAAAUUAAUUUGAAAUCCCAAGUCAGUGAAUAUUUUAAAAACAAACAACUUUUAUUAUUGCUCAAAAAACACUUGCAACAUUACAAAAUACCACGCAAAUAUGAAAUGAUUUAUAACCACGCAACAUUAGAAAUUUUCUCAUUUACUCUUAAUGAAAUGAUUUAUAACCACGCAAAUAUCUAAGAAUUGUUUUAGAAUUGAAGUUUCAAAAGUCUUCCAUUUUUCUAAACAAAAAUUCAGUAAGACAAGCUCCGAUCCGAAGUGAGCCUAACCAUUUUAACCAAAAAUAAAAUAAAAUAAAAUAAUUGAGAAUGUUACGAAAAUCAAACAUAAGAGAGAGUAUAGCUUAUACUUAAUUUUCUUAUGUACACUUCAAUAAAUUAUUAUUCAUAAUAGAACACACUUUAGUUACUUAAAACUAAAGAACACGAAAUACCCAAAAAAAAUUGAAUAUACGGGAAUUUGUUGCAACCACACAUUUUAUUAGUUUAUAUAUACAAGUUUAAUUUGUAUAUGACUUUUGAAUGCAUGAAAAGAUACUUGAAAUGAGUGUUUUAUUAAAGAGUUUGAAAAUUGAAGAAGUAAUUUGAAAAAAAUAAUUUGAAGUCUUGAUUACUUCUUUCGAUUCUUGGACGAAAAAACUGAAAUCGACACAGAAUGAUCUAGGUAAGGAUUCUGGUGAUACUCAAAAGAGGAUUUUAAGCACUUAAAAAU